GAGAGAAUGGUAGUGGUGGAGGGAGAAAGAGAACGGGGGUUAGAAAACGGAAGGGAGUGCGUGAGGCAGAGAGAAAAUGGGAGGUAGGGGAGGGAGAAAGGAAAAUAAAGAGACAGAUAUAAAUAGAGACCCGAGCACUAAGCCCUAAAUUAGUAUAUGAAACGUGUCCAAAUUAGAAUAUUCUUAAUUGUGAGGAUUAAGUAUCAAUUACUGAGGCCCGUCACAUAAGGAUUACAGUCCAGAAGUGCAGAAACAAUACUAACUAUUGACAGAAGCAGAGACAGACCGCAACAAGCUAAAGACAGAAGGAGCCCCCUGGAGACAGUGAAGCAAUUUUAAAAGUAAUUAAUGAAGUUCUGAAAAGAAAAACAGGUAAAACCAGCAAUAAAUAAUUCCAGAUUCAAUCCACUCUGACCCAUUACCGGCCAUCUCCAAGAUCAUCUUAUGUCCAGGCCUCCGAGCUCAUUCUGGGAAUUUCCUCGCCAAGGGCGAACGGGUUAGAACAAGUUCUUAUACUGCUGGAACAUUAAGAGAAGAAGAUGCGGGGCGGGGACUUGGAAUCCCCCCCCCCUAAGCCUCCUGAGGAGUAUAUAAGGAACUGCAGCUCUCAACGACAGCACAGAGAUAAGCCGAGAUCUUCCAAACCAAUUCACUCUACAACCGAACCACUUUCAACAUGAGAUUUUUGUCGCUGAUGUUGGUGUUGGUGGUGGCCCUGGCCGCCCUGAUGGGGUCAGCCCGAGCUAUGCCUGACCCCUACGCCCUGGCUGACCCUGACCCCUACGCUGAGGCUGACCCCGCUGCUGACCCACAGUUUGGACGAUUUGGCGGGGGUCGAGGAUUUGGUAGAUUUAGUGGUGGAUUCGGAAGAUUCGGUGGUGGAUUUAGACGCCGUGGCCAUUUUGGUUAAAAAUGGAUUCUGACCACAGGAAUAAAUGUAUUGUUCUCUCUCAUUAUUCAAACUAAAUAUAAUUUGGCUAAUGCAUUAUA
This is a long non-coding RNA of Procambarus clarkii (red swamp crayfish), 990 nucleotides long. RefSeq lists it as uncharacterized. Lineage: Eukaryota; Metazoa; Arthropoda; Malacostraca; Decapoda; Cambaridae. The record is from RefSeq and is a predicted model, not a curated record.